UACACAUGCAAGUCGAACGCCCCGCAAGGGGAGUGGCAGACGGGUGAGUAACGCGUGGGAACAUACCCUUUCCUGCGGAAUAGCUCCGGGAAACUGGAAUUAAUACCGCAUACGCCCUACGGGGGAAAGAUUUAUCGGGGAAGGAUUGGCCCGCGUUGGAUUAGCUAGUUGGUGGGGUAAAGGCCUACCAAGGCGACGAUCCAUAGCUGGUCUGAGAGGAUGAUCAGCCACAUUGGGACUGAGACACGGCCCAAACUCCUACGGGAGGCAGCAGUGGGGAAUAUUGGACAAUGGGCGCAAGCCUGAUCCAGCCAUGCCGCGUGAGUGAUGAAGGCCUUAGGGUUGUAAAGCUCUUUCACCGGAGAAGAUAAUGACGGUAUCCGGAGAAGAAGCCCCGGCUAACUUCGUGCCAGCAGCCGCGGUAAUACGAAGGGGGCUAGCGUUGUUCGGAAUUACUGGGCGUAAAGCGCACGUAGGCGGAUAUUUAAGUCAGGGGUGAAAUCCCAGAGCUCAACUCUGGAACUGCCUUUGAUACUGGGUAUCUUGAGUAUGGAAGAGGUAAGUGGAAUUCCGAGUGUAGAGGUGAAAUUCGUAGAUAUUCGGAGGAACACCAGUGGCGAAGGCGGCUUACUGGUCCAUUACUGACGCUGAGGUGCGAAAGCGUGGGGAGCAAACAGGAUUAGAUA
This 686-nucleotide ribosomal RNA is filed under the name uncultured Rhizobium sp. RNAcentral describes it as "bacterial SSU rRNA". It matches the Rfam family "Bacterial small subunit ribosomal RNA", at positions 50 to 784 of the family's 1533-position model. The record is from RNAcentral. Lineage: Bacteria; Pseudomonadati; Pseudomonadota; Alphaproteobacteria; Hyphomicrobiales; Rhizobiaceae.